ACAACGUUUGGACCGUCGGUCUGCCGAGCAAAUACACUCGCUCCGCAGAAGAUCUUACCUUUAUCGU
Molecule: microRNA precursor, 67 nt
Filed under: Bombyx mori (domestic silkworm)
Lineage: Eukaryota; Metazoa; Arthropoda; Insecta; Lepidoptera; Bombycidae
Description: mir-2774 microRNA precursor family
Rfam family: mir-2774 microRNA precursor family
Source: Rfam by way of RNAcentral